Molecule: ribosomal RNA, 233 nt
Filed under: uncultured Verrucomicrobium sp.
Lineage: Bacteria; Pseudomonadati; Verrucomicrobiota; Verrucomicrobiia; Verrucomicrobiales; Verrucomicrobiaceae
Description: partial 16S ribosomal RNA
Rfam family: Bacterial small subunit ribosomal RNA
Source: RNAcentral
UGCACACGUACUACAAUGCCCAGCACAAUGAGAACCGAGACCGCGAGGUGGAGGAAAUCUGCAAAACUGGGCCCAGUUCGGAUUGGAGGCUGCAACUCGCCUCCAUGAAGCCGGAAUCGCUAGUAAUGACGCAUCAGCUACGGCGUCGUGAAUACGUUCCCGGGUCUUGUACACACCGCCCGUCACAUCAUGGAAGCCGGUCGCACCCGAAGUGCCUGAGCCAACCGCAAGGA